RNAcentral lists this long non-coding RNA (201 nucleotides) under Sorghum bicolor (sorghum). Its description in RNAcentral is "long non-coding RNA (SBIC_LNC001354)". The record is from RNAcentral. Lineage: Eukaryota; Viridiplantae; Streptophyta; Magnoliopsida; Poales; Poaceae.
UCGACGAAAGCUGGUCGGCAGUCUACCUUGGGGUAUACCCACGGUAGUAGUUUAUCGGUAGACGGUGCGCAAACUACGAACUCGAUGGUGACGAAAGACACGGACAAACUUUUUAUCCAGGUUCGGCCGCCGAGUUGGCGUAAUACCUACGUCCUGCGUCUGGUUGUAUUGAUUUGUGUUGAGAGAAUAUGAUCUGAUGUG